Molecule: ribosomal RNA, 502 nt
Filed under: uncultured bacterium
Lineage: Bacteria
Description: partial 16S ribosomal RNA
Rfam family: Bacterial small subunit ribosomal RNA
Source: RNAcentral
AUUGAACGCUGGCGGAAUGCUUUACACAUGCAAGUCGAACGGCAGCACGGGUGCUUGCACCUGGUGGCGAGUGGCGAACGGGUGAGUAAUACAUCGGAACGUACCCAGUUAUGGGGGAUAACUAACCGAAAGGUUAGCUAAUACCGCAUACGCCCUGAGGGGGAAAGCGGGGGACCGUAAGGCCUCGCGUAAUUGGAGCGGGCGAUGUCUGAUUAGCUAGUUGGUGAGGUAAAGGCUCACCAAGGCGACGAUAAGUAGCAGGUCUGAGAGGAUGAUCUGCCACACUGGAACUGAGACACGGUCCAGACUCCUACGGGAGGCAGCAGUGGGGAAUUUUGGACAAUGGGCGAAAGCCUGAUCCAGCCAUUCUGCGUGAGUGAAGAAGGCCUUCGGGUUGUAAAGCUCUUUCGGCAGGGAAGAAACGCUCUGGGAUAAUACUCCGGGGUAAUGACGGUACCUGAAGAAGAAGCACCGGCUAACUACGUGCCAGCAGCCGCCGUAA